Molecule: ribosomal RNA, 253 nt
Filed under: uncultured bacterium
Lineage: Bacteria
Description: partial 16S ribosomal RNA
Rfam family: Bacterial small subunit ribosomal RNA
Source: RNAcentral
UACGUAGGGGGCAAGCGUUGUCCGGAAUCAUUGGGCGUAAAGCGCGUGUAGGCGGCCCGGUAAGUCCGCUGUGAAAGUCGGGGGCUCAACCCUCGAAUGCCGGUGGAUACUGUCGGGCUAGAGUGCGGAAGAGGCGAGUGGAAUUCCUGGUGUAGCGGUGAAAUGCGCAGAUAUCAGGAGGAACACCAAUUGCGAAGGCAGCUCGCUGGGACGUGACUGACGCUGAGACGCGAAAGCGUGGGGAGCAAGCAGG